AGAAAAAGAAAAAAGUUUUCAUUAUUUCUCACAGGCAUUGCCUUCCAUGCCUUUCGCCUCUCAACUUAGAGCCUCAGACACUUGCCUCAGCACACGUUGACUCACCUCAACCAAGUAAGGUGCCAGGGGCUUGCCUGCCUUGCCUAGCACCUAGCCUCGCCUCGCCUAGCACCUAACCUUACCUUUAACAACACUGAUCCCACGUUGGUUUAGCUUAAGGCAAGAGAACUAAAUAUAAGAACUUGAGCAAUCCUCCUUCUUAAGCUAACUUUUGGGAUUGAAUUAGUUCUUAUCCAUUUUCUCUAUAUGAUAUCAGAGUCUAGAUUGAAGGCCUUACCAUUCUUCUCCUUCAUUAGAGCCAAGACUUGAAGUCCCUACUCUGUUCUUCUCCUCAUCAGAACCAAGUGUUGAAGUUUCUAGUCUUUUUUCUUUUCUUAAUCAAAACCAAGGGUUUGAAGUCCCUACUUUAUUUCUUCUGUUUUUCUCCUCUAUUUCUCAUGAAAAGAAAUAGAUUAAAAAGAGAGAGAGAGAGAGA
RNAcentral lists this unclassified non-coding RNA (535 nucleotides) under Hevea brasiliensis (rubber tree). The record is from RNAcentral. Lineage: Eukaryota; Viridiplantae; Streptophyta; Magnoliopsida; Malpighiales; Euphorbiaceae.